UGAACAUGGAAUAUGGCCUUGACCGAUCUAUUGGAAAAGCAAUAAUGCAAGCUGCUGAAGAGGUUGCAGAGGGAAAGUUGAAUUACCACUUCCCUUUGGUGGUUUGGCAAACUGGUAGUGGCUUUCAUGAACUUGCAGGUCCUAUGAGGGCUUGUUCUAAGCUUGAGCCUUAUUAAUUGCUUCUAGCAGGUCCAGAAAUAAUCUUAAUGCUUAAAAUCUAUCCAAAGAAACGGUCUUCACGGAAAAAACAAAAUUUGAUGCUCUAAAAGUUAAUUUAAGCUUUUCUCUGUGAUUGAGCUUGUCCUCCUCCUAUAGGGCUUCUCAUCUCGUUGUUACUAACUUCUUGUUUCCGGAAAAAAAUAUUAUCACUUCAAUAUGGACAAAUUACAAACUACCUCUUGUACUAUGACUCAUUUGCAAAUACUUCCAGGAUAAACGUGUCCCCUAACACUUAUACACUUGAGUAUAAACAGUCACAUGGAAAAAAAUUCAUUACUGUCCUUUAUUGCUACCAGAGGCAAGGAAAAAAAUAAAAACAAAUAAGUUGGUACAGGGGAAGGGUAAGGAAUGCCAAAUUCUUGUGGAGUUCUCUGCAUCUGAAACCCGGUGUGCUAAUUUUCAAUGUUCUUGGGUUUCAAUAGUUCCGGAUUUGACGUGAAGCUUGAUUAGAGAAGGUAGGAAUUGGGCUACAUUAAGGGUGGGAAGAUUGCACAUAAGGAGAUGGGUGCAGUGACCGAGGUGGGUUUUGCCCACGAUUAAGUAUAUGUAAUUUCAUUGGUGACUUCUGUGUAAUGCUUUUUCUCGUCAAAAAGGUAAUUUUAUCUGUUAGUAUUACAUUAUGGCAUUAUGCCAAUCUAUUUCGUAAUUAAACAAUGACUUGGGUGAUACAAAGGGUGAUGUUGGAUACAAAAAUUUGUCCGGUUACAUACCUGAUGGAACCUAAGAUUUCAAAAUGUAGGUCUUGAUAUUAAUACCGUGAAUCAAAUGUCUGAGCUCAUUCCAAAGAAUGUACGAUGUAUUGGCAAACACCUGAUUGUUGAAUUUGAAAAAGUGUUCCCUGCUCUUGAUAUGCAGAGCGUGAUCUAUUUUAGUUUAGAUGGCAUGUAGUUAAGUAUCCCACAUUGGCUGUGGGAAAUUUGUUGGUGUUUCCUUAUAUGAUUUUGGGCAAUUAUCAUCUUCUGAGCUAACAUAUGGGGGAAAUUAGGUUCAGGGUCCAUUUUCUCCACAUGGUAUUAGAGAAAGUCAUCCCUAUUCUUGGUUUACCCAUAUGUUCGGCCCUUAUACUGUAUUGUCUAUGCACCAGAUGUUCAGUCCUGGGCGUGUAGGGCUGGGGGUGUUAAGUGUCCCGUAUUGGUUGAGGAGAUGGCUAUUGUCUCCCUAUAUGUUGGUGGGGCAAUCCUCGUCUCAUGAGCUAGCUUUUAGGAUUGAAUUAGACCAAAUAUCCAUGUUUUUAUCAGUACCAAGUGCAGGUAAUUGAAUGCUAAAAAUAUGAGUGUUCUGUCUUCCACAAUAUUGUGAUUGUUGGUGCAGUUAUCUCCAGAUAAUAUAUUUUGAUAAGGUAAAUAUGCAACAGCUCUGCCCUUCUCAAAAAAAAGAUGCUGGGGCUCUAAUGAUUAUUUCCUACUUCCUAGUUGCUUCCGAUAUUUAUCUGUUGGAAUUUGACUGUUAUUUUUGCCUUUUGAUUUCACUAGAUACUUGGUUCGAAUGAGCAAAUGAAAUUUCUUUAGCCAAUGACCCAAUAUAUCUCGACUUUGGACUAUUGGAUAUCUGUCAUAGAGAAGAGGGAUCCACCUUUCUAUUUUUUGAUGGGUUGGUUACUAGCAAUGGAGAAAAUUAAUCACAUUCAAGAGUUUUCUGAUGCUUUGUAUGGGAUUUGAGAGAAAUACCUACUGUUAUGAAUAAAUAUAUUAUGCAGAAAUCUGAUAGAUGAAAGCUGCUCAGAUAGUAAUUUUACAUGAACAUGCAUUCUGCCUCUUAAAACUUUAAGUGCAUUUACUGAUUAGCUUCUCGUGGUUUAGGCAAGAUACUGAAAUAUUACUCCCUUUUCUGGUUUUUCCUUUGAUUGCACCGGAAAACACUGGUUUUUGAAAUUUGGCUGUCUCCAAGACUUCACACUCAUUCAAGCUAUUGCUCUUUCUCUUAUCAGAAGAAAGAGAGCAUUGAGAACAGAAAAGAGAGUGCACUCUCGAGCCAAGAAUAAGUGUCAAAGACAAUAUGCACAAACAAGUCUAUUCAAUGAGUAUAACAUUUUAGCUUUACUAGGGUGGACUGGAAACUAAGCCAACAUUGAUGAACUUGUCUCAUCGGCAAUCUAGUUGACAACCACUCCACUUAGUUUGCUGAGCCUUUCACAUCAUACUGACCUAUCGCCACCGUUUGAAUCUCAAUGGUUUAGUUUAUCAGUGACUCCUCACUUGGACAUUCAGGUACUUUUUCUUCUUGUUUCAAAAUUAGAUUUUCCGAUGAUCUUUUGGUCUCAGAUACCUCUAGUCAAACCCCUCUAUUACGUCUUUUUUUUUUUUUCUGUAAGGACAGGAGACAUGCAGAGUUGUUAGGUAUUCUGUUGCAGACUUGAAUGAUCUCCGUCAUAAAGAUGAUCCACCUUAGGGUGUUGUUGUAUCUUAAUCGUCAGCGACCUAGUAUCUUGGAAACUUAAGAAGCUUGGUUUCAUAGAAAAUUGGAGGAAAUGAACCAAUGAAACGGAAUAGUGAGAGUAAAACCGCAUUACAAAUUGUUUCAAAUUCUGUGGUUCAUGAAAUACUAAAGCACAUAGAUUUUAAUUGUUACUUUAUCAGGCAAAAAAUUUGAAUAGAAUGUAUAACUACCAGUUUUGUUAAUACAAGUGCUUCAGCGCUGCAUAUGCAUUAUGUGUUUUCUGUGUUUCCAUAGUAGCUAAAAUAUUUCAGAUCCUAGAUAGAUUGCAGUAUAUGUCUUCUGGACCUUUUAAGGAAGUUGGGUACAAUUUCAUUUAUCUUCUUAUGAUCAUCCUUUUACCAACUGGAUAAUGGUAAAAAAUUGAUCUGUCAUGAACUCAUGUUUUUCCCUUUCUAAUGAUAUAUUAUUAAAUAUCUUCAGGUUAUUGCAAAUCGAACAGCUGAAAUACUUGGCCAUAAGCGCGGUGACAAACAUGUGCAUCCAAAUGACCAUGUAAAUAGAUCACAAUCUUCAAAUGAUACCUUUCCU
Molecule: long non-coding RNA, 3183 nt
Filed under: Nicotiana tabacum (common tobacco)
Lineage: Eukaryota; Viridiplantae; Streptophyta; Magnoliopsida; Solanales; Solanaceae
Description: long non-coding RNA (NTAB_LNC014629)
Source: RNAcentral